CCCCUGGUUUGUAGCGUAGCCGAAUGAAGGCAUCCCAGGUGCUUGCUCGUAAGAGGAAGCUGUCUUCUUUGUUUAAAACGCAGAGAGAGUAAGAUCUGGGUAAGACGGGCGCCCCCCGCCGCGAUAAUACCUGCAGCUCUAGUGGGGGCCGCUAUUAUUGGGCCUAAAACGUCCGUAGCCGGUUUGGAAAAUGCCUGGGUAAAUCGUGUAGCUUAACUAUACGAAUUCUUGGUAGACUACCAAACUUGAGACCGGGAGAGGCUAGAGGUACUCUUGGGGUAGAGGUGAAAUUCUGUAAUCCUGAGGGGACCACCAGUGGCGAAGGCGUCUAGCUAGAACGGGUCUGACGGUGAGGGACGAAGCCCUGGGGCACAAACCGGAUUAGAUACCCGGGUAGUCCAGGGUGUAAACGCUGCUUGCUUGAUGUUAGUUGGGCUCCGAGCCCAACUAGUGUCGGAGAGAAGUUGUUAAGCAAGCUGCCUGGAAAGUACGGUCGCAAGGCUGAAACUUAAAGGAAUUGGCGGGGGAGCACAGCACCGGGGGGGGGCGGGCGGUUUAAUUGGUUUCAACGCCGGAAAACUCACCGGAGGCGACGUUUACUUGAAGCCCAGGCUGAUGACCUUGCCAGAUUUUCCGAAGGGGGGGGCAUGCCCCCCGUCAGUUCGUACCGUAGGGGGUUUUGUUAAGUCAAACAACGAACGAGACCCUCAUCUUUAAUUUCCUCCUAACAAGCCCGCUUGUGGGGCAUUUAAAAAAACCCGCUGGCAAAAAGUCAAAAGAAGGGAAGGGCACCGUUGGGCCAGUUGGCCCUGAAUCUCCCGGGGUUACCCGGCGCCUAAAAGGCUAGAACAUGGGUUUUCUCACCCGAAGGGGGACGGGAUCCCCGAACCCUAGUCUUAUUUCGAACCGGGGGUGAAACUCCCCCCUCCGGAAGGCUGGAAUCCGAGGAACCCCAAAUAAAAACUCCGCGGGGAAAUUGGUUUUGUUUUUUUGAAAAAAGGAGAGGGCGAUUCCCCCGCCCCCUAAUUUCAUUUCCCCCUUAGUGGGGGGCGAUAUAAAUUCCUGGGGCCCCCCUUUUUCACAAAAAAGCCGGGGGGGGCCCCCAGGUAUUGAGGAAAAAAAAAUUUUUUUCACUUUCCCCCGCGGUG
RNAcentral lists this ribosomal RNA (1148 nucleotides) under uncultured archaeon. Its description in RNAcentral is "partial 16S ribosomal RNA". It matches the Rfam family "Archaeal small subunit ribosomal RNA", at positions 340 to 1478 of the family's 1478-position model. The record is from RNAcentral.